RNA transcript from Pimephales promelas (fathead minnow), 831 nucleotides. It is a transcript of the gene named P2X purinoceptor 7-like, with no coding region annotated. Lineage: Eukaryota; Metazoa; Chordata; Actinopteri; Cypriniformes; Leuciscidae. The record is from RefSeq and is a predicted model, not a curated record.
UAGAUAGAUAGAUAGAUUCAUCGAGUUUUUCUCCGGGUGAACAGGUUUGUAACUUAAAAAAAACAGCAACUUGACACAACGAACAAACGAAUGUUACAGUAUGAGUUGCUGACACUGAAAAACAUGAACUGUUGUAAUUAGUAGUAAUGCCGCCUUUAUUCGUUAUAUUUUCUGAAUUACGUGAUUGUUAGAUAUCAUCAUCGGAUGAUUCAGCAGUAGGGAGAGGAAGAGGUAGAGAGAGAGGACAGAGAGGCAGUGGUUCAGUGGGAUCUAACGUUAGGUGAGGAGAUGGACGACGAGGAGCGCGAGAGUCAACACAACGACGACAAAGAUACCCGGCAACUACAAGAGACGAUCAAAGUAGAAUUGAAAGUUUUCAAAGGCAGCGAAGAGAAACGACAGAGAGACUUCUGCAGAACAUGAGCCUUGAGGAUCACAUACGCCUCGCAGGUAGAUUGUUGGAGAGGCAGCCGGGUCUGGUCUUUGAUUUAUUGAUCGAGCAUCAGCAAAGACAUGGUGCCCCUACAUCUGCGGAGGUUCCAGGGGUACCAUGGUAGCCACUGCAGAGACAUGCCGACCGACAGGGAGCGGAAAUGCUGUGGACAGGACCCUGCACACUGCGUGAGCCUCCUUCCACAUUUUACACAAUACUGCCUGGAUGAGGGAUAUCUUCGGAUACAUAGACAGUACCGGGAGGAUCUCACUGCUUUCGGAAAUGUAAGGGAGCCUGGUGAUGACAACCGAGAAUACAGCUUAUAGACACUUUAUUUUCUGGCAGCAUGGCUCAUUAGGACAGGGGAACAGGAGAGUCAUUCCAAGCUGCUGUGUUUA